This 425-nucleotide ribosomal RNA is filed under the name uncultured bacterium. RNAcentral's name for it is "bacterial SSU rRNA". It matches the Rfam family "Bacterial small subunit ribosomal RNA", at positions 354 to 771 of the family's 1533-position model. The record is from RNAcentral.
GUGGGGAAUAUUGGACAAUGGGCGAAAGCCUGAUCCAGCCAUGCCGCGUGUGUGAAGAAGGUCUUCGGAUUGUAAAGCACUUUAAGUUGGGAGGAAGGGCAGUAAGUUAAUACCUUGCUGUUUUGACGUUACCGACAGAAUAAGCACCGGCUAACUUCGUGCCAGCAGCCGCGGUAAUACGAAGGGUGCAAGCGUUAAUCGGAAUUACUGGGCGUAAAGCGCGCGUAGGUGGUUCAGCAAGUUGAAGGUGAAAUCCCCGGGCUCAACCUGGGAACUGCCUCCAAAACUACUGAGCUAGAGUACGGUAGAGGGUAGUGGAAUUUCCUGUGUAGCGGUGAAAUGCGUAGAUAUAGGAAGGAACACCAGUGGCGAAGGCGACCACCUGGACUGAUACUGACACUGAGGUGCGAAAGCGUGGGGAGCAA